Molecule: ribosomal RNA, 274 nt
Filed under: uncultured bacterium
Lineage: Bacteria
Description: partial 16S ribosomal RNA
Rfam family: Bacterial small subunit ribosomal RNA
Source: RNAcentral
AUACGGAGGGUGCGAGCGUUAAUCGGAAUUACUGGGCGUAAAGCGUACGUAGGCGGCUUGGUCAGUCGGAUGUGAAAGCCCCGGGCUUAACCUGGGAAUUGCACUCGAUACUGCCAGACUAGAGUUUACUAGAGGAAUGCGGAAUUCCGGGUGUAGCGGUGAAAUGCGUAGAUAUCCGGAGGAACAUCAGUGGCGAAGGCGGCAUUCUGGGCUAAAACUGACGCUGAGGUACGAAAGCGUGGGGAGCAAACAGGAUUAGAUACCCCAGUAGUCC